UAAUACUUAGGAAUCUACCUAGUAGUGGGGGAUAGCACGGGGAAACUCGUAUUAAUACCGCAUACGUCCUACGGGAGAAAGGGGGCAACUUGUUGCUCUCGCUAUUAGAUGAGCCUAAGUCGGAUUAGCUAGAUGGUGGGGUAAAGGCCUACCAUGGCGACGAUCUGUAGCUGGUCUGAGAGGAUGAUCAGCCACACCGGGACUGAGACACGGCCCGGACUCCUACGGGAGGCAGCAGUGGGGAAUAUUGGACAAUGGGGGAAACCCUGAUCCAGCCAUGCCGCGUGUGUGAAGAAGGCCUUUUGGUUGUAAAGCACUUUAAGCAGUGAAGAAGACUCCUCGGUUAAUACCCGGGGACGAUGACAUUAGCUGCAGAAUAAGCACCGGCUAACUCUGUGCCAGCAGCCGCGGUAAUACAGAGGGUGCAAGCGUUAAUCGGAAUUACUGGGCGUAAAGCGAGCGUAGGUGGCUUGAUAAGUCAGAUGUGAAAUCCCCGGGCUUAACCUGGGAACUGCAUCUGAAACUGUUAGGCUAGAGUAGGUGAGAGGGAAGUAGAAUUUCAGGUGUAGCGGUGAAAUGCGUAGAGAUCUGAAGGAAUACCGAUGGCGAAGGCAGCUUCCUGGCAUCAUACUGACACUGAGGCUCGAAAGCGUGGGUAGCAAACAGGAUUAGAUACCCUGGUAGUCCACGCCGUAAACGAUGUCUACUAGUCGUUGGGUCCCUUGAGGACUUAGUGACGCAGCUAACGCAAUAAGUAGACCGCCUGGGGAGUACGGCCGCAAGGUUAAAACUCAAAUGAAUUGACGGGGGCCCGCACAAGCGGUGGAGCAUGUGGUUUAAUUCGAUGCAACGCGAAGAACCUUACCUGGUCUUGACAUAUCUAGAAUCCUGCAGAGAUGCGGGAGUGCCUUCGGGAAUUAGAAUACAGGUGCUGCAUGGCUGUCGUCAGCUCGUGUCGUGAGAUGUUGGGUUAAGUCCCGCAACGAGCGCAACCCUUGUCCUUAGUUACCAGCGGGUUAAGCCGGGAACUCUAAGGAUACUGCCAGUGACAAACUGGAGGAAGGCGGGGACGACGUCAAGUCAUCAUGGCCCUUACGACCAGGGCUACACACGUGCUACAAUGGUAGGUACAGAGGGCAGCUACACAGCGAUGUGAUGCGAAUCUCAAAAAGCCUAUCGUAGUCCAGAUUGGAGUCUGCAACUCGACUCCAUGAAGUAGGAAUCGCUAGUAAUCGCGGAUCAGAA
RNAcentral lists this ribosomal RNA (1245 nucleotides) under Psychrobacter piscatorii. RNAcentral's name for it is "bacterial SSU rRNA". It matches the Rfam family "Bacterial small subunit ribosomal RNA", at positions 111 to 1354 of the family's 1533-position model. Lineage: Bacteria; Pseudomonadati; Pseudomonadota; Gammaproteobacteria; Moraxellales; Moraxellaceae. The record is from RNAcentral.